This 610-nucleotide long non-coding RNA is filed under the name Cicer arietinum (chickpea). RNAcentral's name for it is "long non-coding RNA (CARI_LNC000752)". Lineage: Eukaryota; Viridiplantae; Streptophyta; Magnoliopsida; Fabales; Fabaceae. The record is from RNAcentral.
CGAGUUUCAGUCACAAAUCAGAUAUUUGCUAAUCACAAUAACAAAUCAAAAAUUCACUCAUAGUCAAAGUAACACAAAAUCGCAAAUCAAAUAUAUCAAAUAUCACAAAUUAGAGACUCGAAGAAAGUAUCAAACUCAAAAGGGAGAAUGACAAAUUAGUGACUCACAUAUGUGGUGAGUAUGGUGACCACCGACCAAAUCGCAAAAUACUCUAAUUUGCAUGCGAUGAGGGAGAUACGACGAAGUGAACAACGACGAGCACAAAUCGUGUUUGCAAGGAGGGGGGCGCGACUGAGUGAGCAGCGGCAAACACAGAUCAUGCGUGCAAGGAGGGAGACGGGAGACGCGACGAAGUGAGCAACGAGAGACGAACCGCAAAUAAAGACGAUGUCAAAGACGAUGAUGAAGACACGAAGACGAACAAAAAUGAACCAUGAUUCUGGAAUUCGAAAAAGAUACAGAUUUUGGAGUUUUAGAUAUGUUUAUAAAUUUCUAAUUUUAAUAAAGGUAUUUUGAUCAAUUUACCUGUAAUUUGUUUUUUAAGUGGCUACGGCCCCGUCACAACAAAGAAGUGCCUCUGCACAUACAAUUAAUGAAAUAUCAUCAUCCU